UGCAAACCGCAUUGCGAUGUAAGCGUGCCACAAACCUCUCCCUCAGUUCACAUCUGCAAAUAUUAUUUCAUACUUGAGAGGGGCAAAGCAAGCAGCUCACGCUGGGCUGCACUGAGGACUGUGCCCUGUGCAGCAGUGCUGCGUGCCCUGCGCAGCUCCUGCCAAUCUGGAAACAGUGGCUGGCAGUUGCACCAUGACCACCACCCCGCACUGCACCUUCCUUGUCUCUUGGUGGAUGUCAUCCCUCGGCUUCUCCUCCUUUUUAUUUUUCCUUUCCUUUUCUUUUCCAGAUUUCCAGAUUCAGGACUGAAAAUGAAGCGUAAAUCUUACUGCCUAAUAACCACGGCAGUUACUUCAAUAAAAUGUUACUUAAAAGUCAAUGGACUGCACAUGUUAAAGACAUUAGAGCUGUUAACAGACCAUUGUAAACUGGCACAUCUCUACCACAGGAGCUCUUUUAGCCCUCUUCAGCUCCUCUGGGCUUCUCCUCCAGCACUGCCUAGCACAGCCGCCAUGCCAACUAUGUGGGGACCGCCAUCUUCCUGUGCAGAGCCCUCACCCACACCAUAGCUGUGUCCAGCCCUGCAUGACCAGCACCCUGCUACAGUACAGACCUCUGCCUCACAGCCAAACAACACAGCAGAUUCAUCUGAAGAAAUAGUUCACAUGCAGCCACAGACAGCAAAUAUUUGGAUGCCAUUUCACUGAAAAUGUUCCCCCUUUGAUCUGCUGACUUACACAGGUAAGUUAGACUACUUUUCUACCAUGAAGUCAAGCCUUAUCAAGUUUUUACAUUUAUUAUAGAUUUGUCUGAAAGGAUAGCAUCUUUUCUUUUCUUUUCUUGACCAGCUCCAUCUUCAUUGGUUGGCCAACUAUGUCAUUUUCUUACUGUCUUCAUGGAGAUUUCACUCUGUGAGAAGACAAUAUGUUUAAUUUCAACAUCCUACAAUUUUCUGUUCCAAACAGUAUUUAUCUCUGAGCUUUUCCCUUUUUCCUUCUUUCUGCCACUCCUACUUCAGUACAAAUCUGUGGGAAGUGCCAUGCACUAUUCAGGAUAGCUGCCACCUUCAGUUUUAUUUUCCUAGCAAAGCCAAAAUACUCCAUUUCUUUUCCUCUGUGCUGUUGAUUCCCAAGAAUAAGCUCCUGAUCCUGGGGUUUUCCAUAAGAACUCCUUCCUUCUCUUUUAAAUUUCCAGCAAGACUCUGCUUACUCCUUUUCUAUUUCAUUCCUUCCAUUAUUGAUGCUAUUACUAACCCACUGGGCUUUUAUGGUCCUUUUGAAUCAAUGGUAAAUUAUCCUAAAUACAUUUCCCUUUUUUUAUUUUCUACAACAUCUACUUUUUUUUUUUUUCUGUGUUGAUUAACAUCCAUUUCAUUUCAUUUCAUUUAGCUCUGUCCUCCUUGUUCUAAGCCUCCUGCUGUUUGAGUCUUUUGGCUUUCCUAGUGGGUAUAGUGGCCUUUCAAACCUUAAGGUUUCUUUAAAAUAGAAAACAUCUUUUAUUCCUUGUGCAUACAGCACCCUGGUAAGGUGAUUCCUGGAACAGGAGAGUCACACAUUUUGUGCCCACUGAUAGUAAAAGCCUUUUGUUUUCCAGCAGAAUAGCUCUCGGCUUACCACAAAUGUUAUGCCAAGCCACGGAGUUAUCUUAACAAAGUCACGAACUAUUACUUCCCAUCUCUUUUCUGAAGCUGCUAUAGUCUCAACAGACAGAAGUGGAUGAAUCCCAGAUUUCUGCAAUGCAACCAUUUUAAUGAGCUUAUUACUGCCAUUUAGAGGAGCCCCACAGCUGUCCCAAAGUAAUCCCUGAUUGUCUGAGAACUGAGUGAUCAGCCCAUGCCAUUUCUGCAGCCUGUUGGUUCUCCUGAGUCCUCUAUAGCCUCUGGUUUGGUCUAUAAUUUCUAAAUUUCUCUGUUGCAUGUAGUAAAGUUAAAAGACUUAAUAAAUCUUCUGACAGCUCCUAAAAACA
Numida meleagris (helmeted guineafowl) is the source of this 1966-nucleotide long non-coding RNA. Lineage: Eukaryota; Metazoa; Chordata; Aves; Galliformes; Numididae. The record is from Ensembl.